GCCGGGUCACCGCCUAAUCGGGCACCCGGGACCACGGGUGCCGAGCCGGGAACCCACGUUUCCACUGGGGUGAAUCCCGCCGGGCCGUCUCGUACGGACCGGGGGGUAGGGCUGAUCUUCCCAGCCCGAACCCGUCAGCUAACUCGGUCGGCGGACGAAGAGGAAGA
Molecule: small RNA, 167 nt
Filed under: Rhodococcus triatomae
Lineage: Bacteria; Bacillati; Actinomycetota; Actinomycetes; Mycobacteriales; Nocardiaceae
Description: c-di-AMP sequence
Rfam family: c-di-AMP riboswitch aptamer (ydaO/yuaA leader)
About the family: This family represents a conserved RNA structure found upstream of the ydaO and yuaA genes in Bacillus subtilis and related genes in other bacteria. The ydaO/yuaA element is thought to act as a genetic "off" switch for the ydaO and yuaA genes in its native state. It is believed that the element may be triggered during osmotic shock leading to activation of ydaO, a predicted amino acid transporter gene, and members of the yuaA-yubG operon which code for KtrA and KtrB K+ transporters.
Source: Rfam by way of RNAcentral